RNAcentral lists this long non-coding RNA (390 nucleotides) under Sorghum bicolor (sorghum). Its description in RNAcentral is "long non-coding RNA (SBIC_LNC018609)". The record is from RNAcentral. Lineage: Eukaryota; Viridiplantae; Streptophyta; Magnoliopsida; Poales; Poaceae.
CACCAAUCUUGCACCUAAACUAACACGGUCUCCAAUCAGAUUGAAGCGAGAUUCCAUAUGACACAUAUGAUCUAGGAGUUCUGUCGGGUGCGUCCAAAUUGAUUUCUGAGAAUAUGGUAUGUUCCAUGCAAACCGUACACCUAUCUUUCAUCAAGAUUAGCACUAUCUCCAAACAGACCGAACCGAGCUUUCACUUGAGCCUCUUCACCUAGGAGUACCAUCGGGAACUUCCACAACGAUUUCAGAGCCUAUGGUGCACUGGGCACAAACCAUGCAACUAUCUUGCACCAAAACUAAUACUAUCUCUGAUGAGGACAUCAGCACCAUCUAUACAUCCACACCUACACCCACACCAUCGCCAACACCACUUGGCCCUCUUACUCGUGCCCG